UCUUAAAAACCUUUACUUUGAGACAUCAUGGAAAAAUCUGACAGGUACACAUGGAAAAGUAAGACAUGAUCACAGUUAAAAGUGAAGACAACCUAACCAGAAAGGUUUAAUGACUGUCAGCUAAUGUUGAAGCUAAAGUUCUGAGUGUGACAUGCUUUGGGACUGAGAGGAAUGGUAAUUAGUAUUCCUCUCCUUCCUCUUCACCCUCUCCUUCAGUAGAAUCCACACCGACCUCCUCAUAAUCCUUCCCAAGGGCAGCCAUGUCCUCACGGGCCUCAGAAAACUCUCCUUCCUCUAUGCGCUUACCCACUACCAGUGAACAAAGGCAUGCUUGGCAUACAUCAGGUCAAACUUGUAGUCCAGGUGAGCCCAGGCCUCAGUGAUGGCUAUGGUGUUGCUUAGCAUGCACACAGCUCGCUGUACUUUGGCCAGGUCUCCACCAGGUACCACAGUGAGAGGCUGGUAAUCAAUGCCAACUUUGAAGCCAAUGGGACACCAGUCUACAAACUGGAUGCUGCACUUGGUCUUGAUAGUGGCAAUGGCAGCACUGACAUCUUUGGGAACCAUGUCGCCAUGGUGCAACAGGCAGCAAGCCAUAUGUUUACCAUGGGGAGCGUCAUAUUUCACCACCUGAUUGGCUGGCCCAAAGCAUGCAGGUGUUCAUGGUAGACUUCUCAGCAGAGGUGACAGGGGCAUAUGUGGCCAGAGGGAAGUGGAUGUGGGGAUAGGGCACCCGGUUGGUUUGGAAUUCUGUUAGAUGAACAUUCAGGCCUCCAUCAAAUCUAAGGGAAAUCUAAGGGAAGCAGUGAUGGAAGACAUAAUCUGGCUAAUAAGGCAGUUAAGGUUAGUGUAGGUUGCAUGUUCAAUACUGAGGUUUCUAAAACAGAUGUCAUAGAUGGCCUCAUUGUCUACCAU
This 915-nucleotide long non-coding RNA is filed under the name Lynx pardinus (Iberian lynx). Lineage: Eukaryota; Metazoa; Chordata; Mammalia; Carnivora; Felidae. The record is from RNAcentral.